CGGCAGGUUGGCGGAGUUGAAGUGCCCGCUCUCACGCAGCGCACGGGAGACGCGGCGCACCUGUGCCGAGCCGGUCUUGCCCGCCA
This 86-nucleotide transfer RNA is filed under the name Acetobacter malorum. RNAcentral's name for it is "tRNA-Val". The record is from RNAcentral. Lineage: Bacteria; Pseudomonadati; Pseudomonadota; Alphaproteobacteria; Acetobacterales; Acetobacteraceae.